RNAcentral lists this antisense RNA (69 nucleotides) under Saccharothrix variisporea. RNAcentral describes it as "Dactylosporangium variesporum ASpks TB sRNA". It matches the Rfam family "ASpks TB sRNA". The record is from Rfam by way of RNAcentral. Lineage: Bacteria; Bacillati; Actinomycetota; Actinomycetes; Pseudonocardiales; Pseudonocardiaceae.
CUUGACCGAACCCAGCCACAGCGGCCGGUCGCGGUCCUUGCCGUAGGUGGCCAGCAACGCCUGCGCCUC